RNAcentral lists this long non-coding RNA (644 nucleotides) under Parus major (Great Tit). RNAcentral's name for it is "lncRNA (ENSPMJG00000008952.1)". Lineage: Eukaryota; Metazoa; Chordata; Aves; Passeriformes; Paridae. The record is from RNAcentral.
ACAGCAGGGCAAAUGUGGGGUUGUUUUUCCCUGUGCACGUCAGAUCAAGGUCUUAUAAAUGAAAAUUCUAGACUUGCCAAUAUGUCAAGUAAUAUAGCCAAUUUAUUAAUUUGUUCGAUAAAAGGUGAGCAAGUUUUGCAGCACGCUGGGUGCCUUGAGGAUCUCUACCUUAAGCAACGCACAAAUUCAGGUCUCAGAGGGUCGGAAAGCUGCUUGUAAACCAGGAUCUCUUAUUUAAAUGCGUGUGAUCCGCAGUCUCCCGAGAGAAGGUGACCCCUGCGUGCCGGGCUGCAGAGUGACCAGGAUCCAGACAGAAGCUGGUGUCCUCCUGACACACGAAGGAGCCUGGAAUCCACAGACAUGUUAAACUACAGGAAUACUUGCAUGCCUUUUACUCUUCUGAAGCAGGACCCACAUUCAGUCUUUUUAGAAAUGAUCCCUCGAACUGUAUCAACAAUUUGUGGUUUAAGCUCAAGGAAGGGUGUCAUUUCUUGGAGCCCCUAGGGGAAUGGUGAAGUUUCAAAGGUCUUUCCGCAGCUUUUGCUGGUCCUCUCCAAGAUGAGAGAUAUUGAAAACAUUCAUAGCACCCAAAAUGAUGAAUGAAACAUGCAAUAUUUUGUGAAAUAAAAAUUGUGAAUAAAACA